AGAGAGAAAAGGAGAAUUUGGUUCCUAAUUAAUUCUCACCAUCAAUGAUGGAGGUUUCAGGUGCCGUUCUAAGGAAUGUCACGUGCCCUUCCUUUUCUAUGCACGUGAGUUCCAGUGGUGGUGGUGGUUGUGUUAUGGUGAAGGUGAGGAUGAAAAAAAAGGCGGUGGUACAUUGUUGCUGCGGGUUCUGUGAUUCAGGGCAUGUGCAGUAUUACAGGGACGAGAAGAAGAAGGAGAAGGGAACCACUAUGUUGAGCGCAAAGAAAAGCUCAAGAUGCUGAAGAAACGUGUCCUUUUCGAUGAUCUUCAAGGAAACCUAACUUUGCUGCUUUGGUUUUACCCGCUAUAUGUCUUUAGCAUGGUUCUAAGCACCAUUGGUAACAUUCUCUUUCUAAUCAUCUUCUUAUGUCAGAAUCUUCAUUGUUGAUGAAGAUCUACACUUUUGUAAAUUAAGUACAUUGAUAAUGCUAGGGUUUGGUUGGUUACAUAGGAAGGUGCUUCAAGUCAUGUUUGAGUUUGUCUUAAAAAUUA
Arachis ipaensis is the source of this 531-nucleotide non-coding RNA. NCBI's taxonomy places the organism in Eukaryota, Viridiplantae, Streptophyta, Magnoliopsida, Fabales, Fabaceae. The record is from RefSeq and is a predicted model, not a curated record.